UGAGGAAUAUUGGACAAUGGGCGCAAGCCUGAUCCAGCCAUGCCGCGUGCAGGAUGACGGUCCUAUGGAUUGUAAACUGCUUUUGUACAGGAAGAAACAGUUCUACGUGUAGAACCUUGACGGUACUGUAAGAAUAAGGAUCGGCUAACUCCGUGCCAGCGGCCGCGGUAAUACGGAGGAUCCAAGCGUUAUCCGGAAUCAUUGGGUUUAAAGGGUCCGUAGGCGGUUAGAUAAGUCAGUGGUGAAAGCCCAUCGCUCAACGGUGGAACGGCCAUUGAUACUGUCUGACUUGAAUUAUUAGGAAGUAACUAGAAUAUGUAGUGUAGCGGUGAAAUGCUUAGAGAUUACAUGGAAUACCAAUUGCGAAGGCAGGUUACUACUAAUGGAUUGACGCUGAUGGACGAAAGCGUGGGUAGCGAACAGGAUUAGAUACCCCAGUAGUCCCUGAGCGGGCUGGCAAGGCGCAU
This 467-nucleotide ribosomal RNA is filed under the name uncultured bacterium. RNAcentral's name for it is "bacterial SSU rRNA". It matches the Rfam family "Bacterial small subunit ribosomal RNA", at positions 355 to 825 of the family's 1533-position model. The record is from RNAcentral.